This 498-nucleotide ribosomal RNA is filed under the name uncultured organism. Its description in RNAcentral is "SSU rRNA". It matches the Rfam family "Bacterial small subunit ribosomal RNA", at positions 16 to 509 of the family's 1533-position model. The record is from RNAcentral.
AUCCUGGCUCAGGACGAACGCUGGCGGCGUGCCUAACACAUGCAAGUCGAGCGGAGAUUAUGGGGAUGAAAGCUUCGGCCGGAUUCCUGGUAAUUUCAGCGGCGGACGGGUGAGUAACGCGUGAGCAAUCUGUCUCAGACAGGGGGAUAACGCAGCGAAAGUUGCACUAAUACCGCAUGAGACCACAACGCCACAUGGCGAAGGGGUCAAAGGAGCAAUCCGGUCUGAGGUGAGCUCGCGUCCCAUUAGGUAGUUGGUGAGGUAACGGCCCACCAAGCCGACGAUGGGUAGCCGACCUGAGAGGGUGAUCGGCCACACUGGAACUGAGACACGGUCCAGACUCCUACGGGAGGCAGCAGUGGGGAAUAUUGGGCAAUGGGCGAAAGCCUGACCCAGCAACGCCGCGUGAGUGAAGAAGGUCUUCGGAUUGUAAAUCUCUGUCCUAAGAGAAGAGGGGAAGACGGUAUCUUAGGAGGAAGCCCCGGCUAACUACGUGCC